Carassius auratus (goldfish) is the source of this 417-nucleotide long non-coding RNA. RefSeq lists it as uncharacterized. The transcript is spliced from 3 exons. The record is from RefSeq and is a predicted model, not a curated record. NCBI's taxonomy places the organism in Eukaryota, Metazoa, Chordata, Actinopteri, Cypriniformes, Cyprinidae.
CUCCAUCACCUGUUUUCAGGGAGAACAGCAUUUACUAUACAGAGCUGUAGUUCUGUCAUUUUAUCUUCAUGGGACCGAGAUGGCUUAUGGUGUCCGUGAGGAGCAGAGAUUGAGAGGUAGCCUACAGAAGAGUUUAAAAGUUUCUCAUUGCUGGUUUGAUUUCAAGACUCAACUUGUUCAUUAACAAUGCAGGUCAAUCAUCCUGGCACGCGUUCAGAGCCUACUGCUACAGCAAACUGUGUAAUGUGCUCUUUACCCGUGAGUUAGCAAACUGACUGGAAGGGGCGAGUGUCACUUGCCAUUGCCUGCAUCCAGGUUAGUUGGGCAUCAUUUUUUUUUUUUGUCUGCUAUUGUCACAAGUUUUAUUAUUCCUUUCCCCCCUACAUUUUCUUUAUUGUCUCAUCUUUAUAAGUGUUA